UCGAGGAUCUUCGUCAAUGGGCGCAAGCCUGAACGAGCGAUGCCACAUGAGCGAUGAAGGCCUUCGGGUUGUAAAGCUCAAAAGAAGCGAGAAAGGGAAACUUGAUCAAGCUUCAGUAAGCUCGGGCUAAGUUCGUGCCAGCAGCCGCGGUAAGACGAACCGAGCGAACGUUGUUCGGAAUCACUGGGCUUAAAGGGCGCGUAGGCGGGUGCUCAAGUCCGGGGUGAAAUCCCACAGCUCAACUGUGGAACUGCCUCGGAUACUGGGCGUCUCGAGGGUGGCAGGGGUAUGCGGAACUAUCGGUGGAGCGGUGAAAUGCGUUGAUAUCGAUAGGAACUCCGGUGGCGAAGGCGGCAUACUGGUCCACUUCUGACGCUGAGGCGCGAAAGCCAGGGGAGCGAACGG
Molecule: ribosomal RNA, 405 nt
Filed under: uncultured bacterium
Lineage: Bacteria
Description: bacterial SSU rRNA
Rfam family: Bacterial small subunit ribosomal RNA
Source: RNAcentral